RNAcentral lists this ribosomal RNA (492 nucleotides) under uncultured bacterium. Its description in RNAcentral is "partial 16S ribosomal RNA". It matches the Rfam family "Bacterial small subunit ribosomal RNA", at positions 29 to 507 of the family's 1533-position model. The record is from RNAcentral.
AGUGAACGCUGGCGGUAGGCCUAACACAUGCAAGUCGAACGGCAGCACAGUAAGAGCUUGCUCUUACGGGUGGCGAGUGGCGGACGGGUGAGGAAUACAUCGGAAUCUACUUUUUCGUGGGGGAUAACGUAGGGAAACUUACGCUAAUACCGCAUACGACCUACGGGUGAAAGCAGGGGAUCUUCGGACCUUGCGCGAUUGAAUGAGCCGAUGUGGGAUUAGCUAGUUGGCGGGGUAAAGGCCCACCAAGGCGACGAUCCGUAGCUGGUCUGAGAGGAUGAUCGGCCACCCUGGAACUGAGACACGGUCCAGACUCCUGCGGGAGGCAGCAGUGGGGAAUAUUGGACAAUGGGCGCAAGCCUGAUCCAGCCAUACCGCGUGGGUGAAGAAGGCCUUCGGGUUGUAAAGCCCUUUUGUUGGGAAAGAAAAGCAGCAGGUUAAUACCCCGCUGUUCUGACGGUACCCAAAGAAUAAGCACCGGCUAACUUCGUG